This 72-nucleotide transfer RNA is filed under the name Camelus bactrianus (Bactrian camel). It matches the Rfam family "tRNA". From Rfam's summary of the family: Transfer RNA (tRNA) molecules are approximately 80 nucleotides in length. Their secondary structure includes four short double-helical elements and three loops (D, anti-codon, and T loops). Further hydrogen bonds mediate the characteristic L-shaped molecular structure. tRNAs have two regions of fundamental functional importance: the anti-codon, which is responsible for specific mRNA codon recognition, and the 3' end, to which the tRNAs corresponding amino acid is attached (by aminoacyl-tRNA synthetases). tRNAs cope with the degeneracy of the genetic code in two manners: having more than one tRNA (with a specific anti-codon) for a particular amino acid; and 'wobble' base-pairing, i.e. permitting non-standard base-pairing at the 3rd anti-codon position. The record is from Rfam by way of RNAcentral. RNAcentral also lists the same sequence under 3 other names. Lineage: Eukaryota; Metazoa; Chordata; Mammalia; Artiodactyla; Camelidae.
GAAGGUAUAGCUCAGAGGUAGAGCACAUGCUUAGCAUGUGCAAGGUCCAGGGUUCAAUCCCCAGUACCUCCA